GAUCAUGGCUCAGGACGAACGCUGGCGGCGCGCCUAACACAUGCAAGUCGAACGAGAGAGAGGGAGCUUGCUUCCUCGAUCGAGUGGCGAACGGGUGAGUAACGCGUGAGGAACCUGCCUCAAAGAGGGGGACAACAGUUGGAAACGAUUGCUAAUACCGCAUAAGCCCACGACCCGGCAUCGGGAAGAGGGAAAAGGAGCAAUCCGCUUUGAGAUGGCCUCGCGUCCGAUUAGCUAGUUGG
RNAcentral lists this ribosomal RNA (242 nucleotides) under uncultured bacterium. Its description in RNAcentral is "partial 16S ribosomal RNA". It matches the Rfam family "Bacterial small subunit ribosomal RNA", at positions 15 to 252 of the family's 1533-position model. The record is from RNAcentral.